UACGAAAAGGAUAAAUGAGUAUAAGUGCCAGAAGGAAAAGAGAGACACAACCGGGUAGAAUGUUUAAGAGAUUUUAUUUAUAUGUUAACAUGUGUGUUUAUGCGUCAUAUAUACAUAAUAAUAGACAGGCCGUCAUGUAUACAAAGUGUAUGUGUGUGCAUUAAGUACAGAGCAUUGAAAGAGUCUAUAAUAUGACGUUAGAAGAAUGUUCAGACACAAGGAUGAUAAAUACCAGUUCGUAGUCAAGGUACACGAUAGUUGAAGUGCAGUAACAAGAAGUUGUGGCAGUAAUGCAGAGCCGGUUGAGGUACAUGUCGUACGUGAAGCCGUGGUUACGAUGCAGAGCCGGUUACUUGUUACAGGAGUUCUCGCAGAUUGUAUUUGCUGUUAACCAUGGUGAAGUAAUUCACAAACAGUGUUGAGAUAGAACCUGUUCGAGGGUUGCUGGUUGCUGUGUACGUAGAGAGAUAAAAGAGAUGUUAGGACGAAGUGUUUAUG
Octopus sinensis (East Asian common octopus) is the source of this 498-nucleotide long non-coding RNA. RefSeq lists it as uncharacterized. The record is from RefSeq and is a predicted model, not a curated record. Lineage: Eukaryota; Metazoa; Mollusca; Cephalopoda; Octopoda; Octopodidae. The transcript is spliced from 4 exons.